This is a non-coding RNA of Meleagris gallopavo (turkey), 6317 nucleotides long. The record is from RefSeq and is a predicted model, not a curated record. Lineage: Eukaryota; Metazoa; Chordata; Aves; Galliformes; Phasianidae.
UGUGUUUUCUGCCCCUUUGACAGUAUGCCAAGGCACUGAAGCAUUUUGGAGAGAAUGAGGGCAAGAUGCAGCCAGAUGAAUUUUUUGGCAUCUUUGACACUUUCUUACAGUCAUUUGCAGAGGCAAAGCAAGAUCUGGAGAAUAUGAGGAAGAAAAAGGAAGAAGAGGAGCGCAGGGCACGCAUGGAAGCCAUGCUGAAAGAGCAGAGGGAAAAAGAGAGGCGUCAAAAGAAAGCGAAAGCAGGAAGCAUCUCUGAAGAGACUGGGGAGUUUGAUGACCUGGUGUCAGCUUUGAGGUCAGGAGAAGUCUUUGACAAGGACUUAUCCAAACUCAAGCGUAAUCGCAAGCGUUCGGGGAACCAAGGCUUAGAGACAAGCCGGGAGCGGGUGGUGACAAAACUAAAUUAUUAAUUACAAGAGAAAGAAAAAUAAUCAACCAAAAUAAGUGAAGAAAAAGAGCAGAACAAGAAGAUGAAUGUGUGCAAUGGCACUUGGCUGACAGCUGCCCCAAAGGAUUUCUUUGGUCUGUGGGUAGAGACAUUACCUUUCCAUUGAUCAGCUUUCCUCUCAUCCCUCCUCUGCGCUCCUAAUUUGAACCAUUAUAAAAGUGCCUCUGUGGAGCCAGCAGGGUCUGUGACUGGGCCAUGCAGACCUGACAGAUUUGCUUCUGGGAGUUGAUUGUGUCAUGAAAGGCCUCAUGAUGAUGACAGAAAGUACUGGGCCUUGCAGACAGCCUUGCAGCUGGAGAAGGAUAAUUUUCUGCGUGCCAAAGUGAAAAUGAACUAUGAUCUUCAUCUUGCUGAUAAUAAGCAGGACUAAUUUCAGAACAGUUUGGUAAACACCUGUUGCUUCUUCAGUAACUAUACUGGCCUUCAGAGUCUUGUCAAGAUGUAGUUCUUGAGGUUACAAGGUCCCUCCCAGAAUUGGAUUUUAUAAGCCAUUGAUCAGCAUCCGAAAAAUGCUUUUGAUCUCAUAUUCUGUAUAGUGCUUUUGUAUGGCCUAUACUGUCCAAAGCAAGUGAUGCUCAGAAGGAAGUAGGAACAAAAUGGAAUUCGAAAAUCAGGAUUGACGUAAAAUACUUUGCCAAAGUCUUUUGGAUUCUGCUUUUCUAGAAACAGUUUUCUGGAAUAUAUUGAUGGUUAAGCCUCAAAGUUCUGAAAUUUAUCUUCUAGGAAAGAAGUUGUGGCUUUUGUUUAGAAAACUGUGCCACUAACAGGUUGGGAUUUCACCUGGAUGACUGUGGAGCCUGUUAUAAUUGCUGGGAAGGAAACAGCUGAACAUUUCUUAUCCAUUUUUGCAAGAUUCCUUACUGCAGCCCUGAAAUGGAAGGAUUUCCAAUGGAAAUUGGAAGCUCCUGAGUAUCAUUCACAGGUCACAAGUGGGCAAAAAGCAAAUGGGACUGCAAGCUGCAAGAAGUAAGAUUUCUUUUCCACUUUGUACAGGCUGCAACUGCUGUGGGAAUGGACUGGACUUUCUGCAUAACAGGAUGAUUUAUUGCAUGCACCCCAAUCCUAUCUAGGGUAAUCACAUAGUUCAGUAAGAUAUCAGUGAUGUCAAAGGAGAGCUGUACAGGCCACAGCCUUUUUCAUUUAGAAAAGAUUACUUAGCAUGAACCAAUGGAAGGUCCCAUAAGGAAAACGGAGAUUUUUUUCCAGGAGGACACAAAGUCGUGUAAGUAAAGUGGAAACGGGUUAAUUCAUAAGAAAAAAAGAAAUUUGCAUUUACACUGCACCUACAAAGCACACGGUGAAAAAGCAGAGAACCCCAAGAAGAUGCUUGAAUUCUAAAUUUGAUUUAUCUUCAUGGUUCUUGGAAGGGGAUUCAAUUCUGUGGGCUGCCAUGACCCUUUUUUUGUCAUUUUUUUUUCUUCUUCAAUCUUGCCAUCCCUUUUGAUUAUCAACUCUGGAGAGGGAAAAAGGAAAAGAAAGAAAUUGCGAUGGAUUCUUCCUCCUAGACAAGAAGGGAACAGCAUUUGAGAAGAGAAGCCUACAUUUACGAACUAUAUAUCAACAGUAAACAGCACAAAGUGUCAAGGAAUCCCAGGGAAAUGGAAAAAGCUCCAUUAGUCACUUUAAUAUUUUGGUUCUGUUUUUCUAUGAAUGUCACUUAACCUCAGGCUCAGCACUGAGUCUGCAGAAUAGAACUUCUGCCAUACACGCUGCCUGAUCAGUAUUACACACUACCAAUAUUGGAGAAACCAACAGUGGUGGUUUUCCAAACACUAAAAUAAUUAUGUAAACUAUGGAAAGGAGCAAAAAAUUUAGAAUUGCUAAACUCUAAUGUUUCAUUGUUUACUGAAUUUUGAGACUCCCACCCUACAGUUUCCCUAUUUACAACAUUCCAGACUGCCGCGCCUCUGUAUAAUACUCAUGGUAAAGAGCUGGUAUCUUACAAGAGCUGGGUGCAUUCUCCUCCCUUAUUAUCCCAUCGCCCUUCUGGGAUUAGCUAUUAACAGCAAUAUCCAUUGCAGCAGACACAAGCACCUUGUAGAAGAAAGACUGUAUUUCAUAAAGGUUUUUGAAAGUUUAACUCUCACUUUUAUAAGCAUUUUUAUUUUAAAUUACAAAAUGGAUUUUUAGAAAUGUCUCUUGUAAUUUAUAUUAACAAGCUCCUUGCUGCUCCCCAAAGUAGACAUGCCAUAUCUCAGCCCUUUUUUUUGUUUGUCUUGUUUUGAAGCAUGCCAUAUAAUCUAUGCCACAUAAGCCAUAUGAGACGUGGUAAUAUGUGCCAAAUUGGUAUACAGUGGAAUUUAGAUUUGGAUAAUCCCUGAAUUCCAAAGAUGAUAUUUUCAGGGAUUAGAACAUUGUAGAUUUCCCCCCUCUUUGUUCUCCUUGGUGUUAGGACUCACUCAGAUGUUCAAGUGUAGUGCCAGUGCCAAGAUCAGCUCUGGUGCAAGAAUGUGUGACCCUUGGCUCUGUCCAACUUAUGGCUGCUUGCUUGCUCUCCAGGUACUUGUUCAGUAUGGCAGACUGUCAGCAAGGCAGUUCUGUUAUAGAAGAAACACCUCAGGGCAAAACCCUUGAAUAUAAAUACAGCAUUCCCCACCCCAGUAUUUUUCAAACCAGGUUCAUGGUUUUGAAAAACUUUUUGAAACUGAAGUCACUUGGCCAGGCCAUAAAUGUAGCAAAAGCAGAGAGAGUGAUAAUCUCCCUGUCCAUUUGUGUACACAGUUCAGCUGUGAUAUGAAAAGUUAUAUGAUGGUACGCAGUGCUCCAGUCACAGUGACAGUCAGAGAAAGCUGCUGUAGCUUUGCCACCCUUCAAUAUAUACACAAGUAAUAAGAGACUGUGCAACUCCAAUAAAUCAGCUGUGAGAUACAUUACUGGAACUGAAAGAAAGCCCAGAGUCAUGCCCCCGGUUCAUUGCAGCUCAACUUUCUUAGCACUCAAGGGCCCCAGACUUUUGUUUUGAAUCAGUGGUGGUGGCUGAAGGUUUCUUUCAGCAUGCUGAACAGUCUCCCCUGGCUGUACACUGCUUGGUGAAUGUUCAUGAAAAGCAUUGUGGAAAAGCUUGGUUACUCACUGAGUCAAGCAGUGAUUUCCCAUUAAUACGUCUGCUCUAAAAGAUGAGGCUGGCCACAGUAGAUAAGGAAAUAGUUGGAUCUGCUCUAGGACCUGACUUCAGAUUUUUUGCAAAGCCAAGUUCAUCCCUGCUUGGAGUCUCUGGCAUGCUGUGAGUGCAGCUAUGCUCUGUUCCUCAUGUGCAGUUUUGAUUGAGUUGCUGAGUGCCAAGAAAGGUGGGAAAAUCUAAUCCUUGUCCUCUAGUGCCUCUGUAGCCUGGGUGGGCAUAGCAAGCAGUCAUGAGGCAUAACAUUAAGGCAAAACUUCUUUAUCAUAUUCUGAGGGACAGAGAAGAACUAAGGUCUGCUGCUGUCCUUGCAGUACCAGCAUUUUAAGUAAAAGCACCAGCAUUUUAAGUAAAAGAGGAGGAGAUGGGAAAAAGGUUAUAGUUGAGGGCUUGUUCUACUUUAUAUUUUUCCUAGAGAAAUGUAGUUGUUGCUAACUUUAUGAUGAAGUUCUUCACACCUAGAAGAGGAGGUACUUUCUAAUUCUCCAAACCUUGUCUGUAGAGAUCUAAUGCUUCUUCACUUACCUAUGUGUCUUUGCAUUGUUCUUAAGCAGAUUGCAUUAGGAUGACCCCUGAAAAGACUGCAGAACUUCCCCCCACACACCCCACUCUCUUUGCUCUUUGUCACUCUUCUCAGUUGUCCGUAAGUCUCUGAAAAUGCUACGAAGCGAAGUGACUUCAGGGCAGCAAGGCCCUUCCAUGCUUUGCAGCACAGCUAUGGUCCGGGCACUGGUUCCCUACAAGAGCAGAAGUAGGACUAAUAUUCAGGGAUGAGAGACUCUCCACUAGAGAGACAGCUUGGGCAUCCUUCAGAAGCAUUUCUGUAAUGUGUUCACAGUGUUUGAGGAAGGGAAAGGCAUUGUGAGGGGCCCUGAUGGAAGGCUGUGGAGCAGGUGUUUCUGUAAUGGUCAGCUCCAUUGGCUGAAUCUUCCCUCUUUUUUAGGAAAGCUCGCACUCUGAGCUGGGUUGUACCAGAGAAGCUUGUGUCAGGAGUUUCCUUGAGGGGAAAGGAAAUCAGUUGUACAGUUGAUGAUGUACAUGAUAUAUGCAGUUUUGUUUCUGGGUUGGUUGUUUUGUGUUUGUUGUUUGUUUUUUUUUCUUUUUUGUUUGGGGGUUAAAUGUUUUUGUUUUUUCUUAAAUGGUUUUAGGAAUCUCUAAGGGGAACCUGUAAAUCUGACACCUCUAUUUAUUUUGCCUUAUUUUAGUUUGCUAUGUUUGUAUGUAUACACUGCAUUACAGCAAAGACUCUUGAGACCGUGCCAGGGCAUUACACCAGCUAGACAGCCGGCAUGGCCAUUCUGCAGCAAGCUGAGCAGGGGGUGGGGUGGUGUAGGAGCAGCCUUGGUGUGGGAAGGGAGGCAAGGAAGAACUUCACUUUUGCUUUCAUAGGAAUAACUCUGCCCUAAUAAUAAUUGACUUGGGAAAGCAUGUCUUUUAAAGCAUGUGGUGAAUUGAUGAAAGUAGGUUAUUUCAGAAUACUCUCUGAAAACAACCAUUUUCUUGUCAUGAAUCAUGGUGGGAAUAUUGAGAAGAGGUAAGCUCCACAUUUGCUAACUCAAAUUUCAAUCUCCAACUCAAAUUCUGCAUGUAGUGCCAGAGAAGCUGAAAUAGGUGUACAAGUAUGGAUCAUACCCUUACCAGAGUUUACAUGUUGGUGAGACAAACUGUGACAGGCCAAGGAAGAAAAGAUUCUCUCUGAUUUCCCUCUCCACUCUACUUCCUCAGAGUCCCAGGGUAAGCAAUAUUUUUUGGCUGUUUGGUUUUCUCUCUGUGGAGUCUCUAGCAAUAACACAUGUUCAGCUACAGCUCUUUGGCUUCUGUACUGAACAAGGAAGAUUUCCGAUUGCCUGCCAUUCAAACACUUAGCUGCUGUUGGCCAUUCUUACUUUCUUUAUUAAAGGUGGAAAAGGCCAUCUUGAGUAAUAUAAUUUGGCCAACUGAAAAUAUAGGUGUAGGUAGUAAAGCUAUUUACUAUUCUGAGUAGUUUGGAUGACUAGAUUCUCCUAAAGCUGGCCAGAUUAUGCUGAGAAGGAUGUCAUUAGCUUAGAAAGCUGUUAUGGCACCUCAUUUUGAGUCUGGAUGCUUAACAGAUAUUCCAAACCAGUCUUCUGAUACUGGUGUUAAUGUGGAAUAGAUCCAGUAUAUCCAGUACAGUGUUUAAUACCAACAUUAUUUAAAGCAACAUCUGGAUCAGAACUCCCCUUUUAAACAGCUUUAGCUGCUGAGAAGAUGUUCUACAGAGCUUUCAAAGGGCUUGGUCCUUUCAGCUGUUCAACAGUUGGAGCUCUCACUCAGCUGAUCUAGAAAAGCCUCUAUGAUAUGCUACUGACAACCCAGCCCCUCUACACUGCUUCCCAUCUUCAGACUUGCCCCUAAAUACUCUCUUCCAAAACCUUUGCUGUUUUAGAAUUGUAGGAGGACAUCAGGUACCUGAGCCACGCUCAAUGCUUCUCCCUUCCAAACUGUAUUCAGCCAUUCUCCUCCUCUGCCAGCCUGCUCAGUUUAAAACUUCCAGAUCAUUUUUGGAGGUGCCCCUGCCUGCCGAGCUGGAAAGUAUAGUGCUGCUUACUGACGUGGGAGGUUGUGUGCUGCUGUAAUGCCUUGGCGUAUCCUCAUUUCUUAGUCAGUUUAAGACUAUAAGUGAAUUAAAUGUACAAAUCCUGUAGUGUCCUUUUUAUCUGUAUCUUUUUAUAAGAAUAUACUGUAAUACUAAAAAACAAAAGCAAAAAAAUUAAAGAUAUAUUGCCCCCA